RNAcentral lists this microRNA precursor (59 nucleotides) under Drosophila virilis. RNAcentral describes it as "microRNA dvi-mir-9708d precursor". Lineage: Eukaryota; Metazoa; Arthropoda; Insecta; Diptera; Drosophilidae. The record is from miRBase by way of RNAcentral.
UGAUCGCGUCUAAGACAUAUAAUUUAUACUUGACUUAUAUGCAGUAGAUGUGAUCGCGU